UUGCGCUAUCCUAGUUUUAUUGCGAUGUAAUGAUAGCAAGCCGAUGUUUCGCAAAACAAGCUCGGUUUUGUGACUACAUAGAUACCUGCGGCACUUUUUUAACUCGGCUGUAGUGACGUUUGAGUGUGGUUUUGAGAGCAUCUCGGCAAAACCAAUUUGGGGCAUCGCGUCGGGCCGAGCAGCUGUUUUAGCACCUGCCAUUGCCCAUCUGCCGAAGAAGAAUACCUUCGUGCUGGCUGGCAGCUUUCGUCCCUUGGCUCGUGCCUUAUUAUAAAGAACGGGGCGUUAAUUCCAGAAGCAUUGCGAACAUGGAAUCACUAGGAAGGAGCCCGUUUGGCUAUAUCGGAGCAUACAACAUACUUACAAAGGUUGGACCUUGCCAGCACACCUUUUUCCUUCCUCCAUCUUUAAAUCUUUUGACGUGUAACCCUAAAUAUAAUGAAACAUUUGUAA
Long non-coding RNA from Cylas formicarius (sweet potato weevil), 453 nucleotides. RefSeq lists it as uncharacterized. Lineage: Eukaryota; Metazoa; Arthropoda; Insecta; Coleoptera; Brentidae. The record is from RefSeq and is a predicted model, not a curated record. The transcript has 2 exons.